RNAcentral lists this long non-coding RNA (207 nucleotides) under Gossypium raimondii (Peruvian cotton). RNAcentral describes it as "long non-coding RNA (GRAI_LNC009404)". Lineage: Eukaryota; Viridiplantae; Streptophyta; Magnoliopsida; Malvales; Malvaceae. The record is from RNAcentral.
AAAGAAAAGAAAAGAUAAUCGAGUAAGAAGAAAAGAAGAAGAAAAUUCGGUAGAGAUGGGGGAGAGAAAAUGUAAAAAAUAUGGAGAAAAAAACUACUCUCUUUUUUUCGAAAAAGGAAAAACUUAUUAGAUUUUGGAUAUUCUGCCCCAUAAUCCUCUAAUUCACUCCUAAAAUCGCUCCCUUACUUCCCACUACACAUCCACCAC